Molecule: long non-coding RNA, 1602 nt
Organism: Ictalurus punctatus (channel catfish)
Lineage: Eukaryota; Metazoa; Chordata; Actinopteri; Siluriformes; Ictaluridae
Source: Ensembl
CCUUGAAAUAACAGAUGCCAGUAUGUCUUGUAUGCACUUGGACAUGUUCUCCAUGCUCCCUCCUUUCCUCCACACAUCCUCCGCCUUGGUGCAAACCCCUGAAGCAGGGCUGGAGGCGUCGCGGCCAGGAGGAAGCUGCUGCUCAGAAGGCGAGGCGCUGAGGCCCAGUCCGCUGUCUUCAGAAAGGAGGGACGGGAACGCGGCCACUUCGGUUCCCACCUCCUGAGCAUCCUGUCCAUUGAGGGUUACUGCAACUUCUUGGAUUUUAUCGUCACCGCUUUGGUUAUCAGGCCCAUCGUUCUUGAUGUCGGUCACUGCAAGCGGCUAGUGCGAAGAAAGUGUGUGCACGUGGUAAGAAAGUAUUCAAGCAGCGAAGACUACAGACAUGAUAGAAAACUGACAUUCGUAACAACAACAAAAACAUGAUCACACCUUUGUUUCCUUUAUAUCCUGUAUCUGUGACUCCAUGUCCAUGUCCAUAUAGUUCACAGGCAUCUGGAUCUUACUCAGAACUUUAAAACAUGCUCGAAGGGUCUGUGUAAGCGCCGCUAGGCUGAGAGAUGCCAUGUGAGCUGAUAAAGACUGCAGCAUGCUACCCAGCAUCUGGGGCAGGUACUGUGUUUGGAUAUCAGCAUAAAGCUCCUUUGGAACAAUAGAUAAGAAAAUAAAGAAAAAGAGACCUAGUAUAGAAACAGAGCAAGCAAACUCUACCCAGUUAUAAUGCAGCUAAAUUAUGGAGGUUUAAUGGCUAAUAGAGAAUGUUUGGAGUAUACGUGUAGAGCGGUGUAAGAGAAAAAACACAAACGUGACAAAUACCAAAGGGAUAACAUCAAGGACGAAGAUUAUGAGGGAUGAGAGCUCCGUCACGGAUGGAGAAGGACUCCAGUCUUUAGCUGAAGACGUCCCUGUAGGGUCACUUAACCCGCUGAAAGACAGGUUUACAUCAUAUUAUCACUCUCGUGUAUACUUGUGUGUGUGUGUGUGUGUGUGUGUGUGCGUGUGCGUACCUCAGACAGGUGUGGAAGCGUUUGGUCAUGUAGUCCAGAAGGUAUUCACUGCUCAUGGCUCCCACCAACAUAUUGACCGUCUUUACGAUCUCAGAAACAUGUUUGUUCUCUUUGAUUGUACUGCAUAAACAAAGAGACCGACAAUAAUAUUUCAUUCCUGCGCUCUCGGAAAUAAAGCUUUUCCUUCCCGCUGGUGUGGUACCGUUACAGGUACGUGUACUGCACUUAUGUAUUGUUCACCUGGAUGACUAUAGUAUCCCUUUAAAAAUCAGUUAAGGUAAAAAUUUGGGCCUUUUGGUCCUUUUAGAAUGCACUUUCUCAGGUAAAAGAUGCAUACUAAAGGUAGAGAUUAUGUACUCUUGCUGCAACCACCCCAGCAACAAGGAAAAGUGCAGUUCAGUAGCUUUACUUCUUUUAUUUCAUUCUGACCUUGCGAGCUGCUUGCCAGAGUGACUGGAGUUAAGCGAGUCCUCUCCCAGCAACUCUCUACAGUAACUAGAAAAGGCCCUGAUCACCUCCAACAACACAUCCGACAUGACCAGUGAGAGAGAGAGAGAGAGAGAGAGAGAAGGAGAAAGAAAAAGAGAAAGAAAAA